UGCAUGUCAGCCGAAGUGUGUUUUAAAAAUUGGGACUUGUUUGUAAAUAAUUUGUUUUAUUAUGGAAGACUGAUUAAAUUUAACAAACUUGCGUGAAAUUCUUACAGUGACAGUUGUUCAUAUGACAAAAACUGUAAUAGAGCCAGCAAAGUAUUUGUUAAAAGUAUUGUUUUUAUUAUUUAUUGACGUCACAGUCGGAUUUUACUGUUAGGUUAAUAACUAAUAUUAAAAUCGUAGAUAAAUACCAUUUUACCAAACUCAAGGGUUACUGGUGAUAAUUUAUUAAUAUUACCAAUCGUAAGAGGGAAAAACAAAAAGCUAAUCGCUAAACAUCUGAUUAUUAAGACUUGGAAGUUAGAGUUUUUAUUGGUGCUUAUAAAGUUUAAUAUUCGAAUAAACUAAACUUGCAUUACAACUACAAGUUACGUACAAAUUGCACACAACUUUACAGUUAUAAAGAGGUUAACUGACUUAUAAUUUAUAUAACUUGUAAGUUAUACUUUGAGUUUUUUAUUUUGCUCGACUCUAAGUCUUAAGGUCGACCUUGAACUUAGUGUAAGCUUAUCAGUAUCAUGGAUGAUGCAUUUCGAAGUGGUCUUGCUGUACACAUUGCAGAAUAUAUAAAAGAUCGCCUAUACUUUGCUACUUUGAGAACUACGGUAAAACCGAAGUCCACAUCUUCAGUUCACUACUUUUGUAUAGAUGAUGAACUUUGGUAUGAGAGUUUCUAUGCAGACUUUGGGCCCUUAAAUUUGGCUUUGCUCUAUCGGUAUUGUUGCAAGUUGAACAAAAAGUUAAAAG
This is a long non-coding RNA of Limulus polyphemus (Atlantic horseshoe crab), 801 nucleotides long. RefSeq lists it as uncharacterized. The transcript has 3 exons. The record is from RefSeq and is a predicted model, not a curated record. NCBI's taxonomy places the organism in Eukaryota, Metazoa, Arthropoda, Merostomata, Xiphosura, Limulidae.